UGUCCCUCUUCUCUUGCAUUUCAACACACAAUACGCGGGUGUGUGUUCCAUAUAUAAAAUAUAUAAAUACGUACAAUGUACAGUGUAGUACUAAGCAUCUUCUGCUACUGAGUACAGUUGGUACAACCUGUCAAAACCGACAAACCGACACUACUAUCCCCCGUCGCCGUCGCCGUCGUGCAAUGAGUGCUCGGAGUCGGAGGAGAUCAUCCUCGCCUUUAACAUCUUUUUUGGCAAAGCUGUCUACAGUUUCAACAAUUACUCUAUUGCUGCUUUGUAUCGCUUUUAUUUCUGUAUUAGCACUUGCAUUUGCGCUUCCCGAAUCAGAUCAGCAGCUUGAUGGAGGAGGAAGUAGUAGGGGCAAUGCUAGUGAAUUGAGCAGUGGACCUCGAAGUAGGCCUAAAGAGGAUAGUUUUGCUGAUAUGAUCGAUCGAGCUCUCGAAAAAGAGUUCACUGAAAAUGAUCAAACCGAAGUUAAUGAUGCGGGCAGCUUCAAUAAUAGUGUGGCCGAGCAGCAGGCAGUGUUGGAGACUGUGGCUAGAGUUAAGCCCAAGAAAAAUGACACAAAGAAAGAGGACAAAUCCUUUCAACUUCACCAUGUUUUCAAGCUUGAUAAUGAUCAAGGAGCAGAAGAAACCCCAACUUUGAUAGAUAGGAAGGACAAUGUCUUCAUCAUAUCUAAUUUCAAGUCCAAGUAUCCAGUGUUACAGUUAGAUUUGAGGUUGAUAUCAGAUCUGGUAGUGGUCAUUGUUUCUGCAACAUGUGGUGGAAUUGCUUUUGCUUGUGCUGGUCAACCGGUUUUAACUGGAUACUUACUAGCAGGAUCUGUCGUUGGACCUGGAGGCUUCAAUGUUGUUAGUGAAAUGGUGCAAGUUGAGACAGUGGCUCAGUUCGGUGUAAUUUUUCUUCUUUUUGCUUUGGGGCUGGAGUUCUCAACAGCAAAGCUUCGUGUUGUUCGAGCAGUUGCAGUUCUUGGAGGACUGCUUCAAGUUAUGCUUUUUAUGUGUCUCUGUGGAAUUACAGCUUUGUUGUGUGGCGGUAAAUCUUCAGAGGGUGUAUUUGUUGGAGCAUUUCUCUCAAUGUCUUCUACAGCAGUGGUGUUGAAGUUUUUGAUGGAAAAGAAUAGUACAAAUGCCCUUCAUGGCCAGGUUACAAUUGGCACACUUAUUUUGCAGGUGCUUUCUCAUUCUUUCAGGAUUGUGCUGUAGGCCUGCUGUUUGCUUUGCUUCCAAUCUUGGGAGGCACUUCCAAUUUUGUGCAAGGGUUAAUAUCGAUGACGAAGUCGUAAGUUUUCAUACUUGACUUCUUGAACCACUUCUUAUUUCCUCUCUGUACAUGCUUUGGUGCAGGUCAACUUUCUUUGUAAGAACUAGUUGAGUUCUGUUUGCUUUCCCUCGGUUUGGAAUCUUCUUCAUGGAAGGAAAAGAGUGUUCUCGAACAUAUUUUAGGCUCUGUCUCUUGAGAACUGAAGAUAGGCUUUUAUUGUGUUAGAAGCUGAUCAAUCUUGCAACUGACCUCUUUUCAAAGCUCAUUUGCUGCAUGAAAAAUGUCCAUUCUAUGCUAUCAUGUCAUGUAUGUUUAGGCAUACAUUUUAUAACCAGAUCUUGCCUAGAGGCAUCUGUUCAUUUUUGUAGAUUUAGCAAUCUGACUGUUGAUUUCUUUUAUCCUGAGCUUUCCCACUCGGGAUGUUGCAGGGGCGUCUAUCUGUCAAAUCUUGCUCUUGAGUUCUGAAUUUAGGUUUUAACUUCUUAGGAGUUCAUUUGGCCCUCUAGAAUAUCGUAACUAACUUAUAUGAGUUUAGUCUCUGUAUGACUAAGUCACUUGAGGAGGGAGGUGGAUUGUUCUUUUUAAAAACCAGGUAUGUUGAAGAUAGAAGAUAGAGGCCCAAUUAAAUUAUGCACAAUGAAAGCUGGAUACCCAAAGAAGUUAUUGAAUCAGUGGUGAACAAGUUAGUGCCUGCUGAUACUUUAUAAUUUUGCAAGGCAAGGAAGCUGCACUUGUCCAUCUAAAUGAUGAUGACAUAGAUAUGCAUGUAUAGUUAAUAUCAGAGUUUAGCAACCUCUUAAUUUAAUUUAAGUGAGAAUUCUCUUUUCAGCAGAUGAACUUACUAAAGAAGAUCAGUUUUCACGAGAGUCUUCUCAAUAAAGAUUAGUGGAAGUUAAAAAUUGAUGGGUGGAGGGUUGAUGGUCAUAUCCCUACCAUAGGUUAUGCAAGAAGAUCUUUAAUUGGGUCAAAUGUGAAAGACAUAUAUUUGUUAUGAUGGAGCAGAAAGAGUAAAUCAUCAACGGACCUGUGGGAAGCCAGGUUGGUCGUGUUGCUCUCAUUUUUGGCUAUUUUGUCAAUGUUAUCACGGACAUGUGUGCCAUGGUUCCUGAAGCUGAUGAUAAGCUUAUCAUCACAG
Molecule: non-coding RNA, 2401 nt
Organism: Nicotiana tabacum (common tobacco)
Lineage: Eukaryota; Viridiplantae; Streptophyta; Magnoliopsida; Solanales; Solanaceae
Source: RefSeq, a predicted model, not a curated record